UCGUGUUUAAUUUGUAUGAUCUCCGUUCUUUUGUAGCAACAUUUUGGAUAUAAUAAGGGUAACAAUUUCUGUCCAGUUUACUCCCUUAUAUUUCUUUUCUCAUUGCGUAUUUUGAUGGUAAAAAUAAGUUUUCAUCUGAUGGGAUGAAUACUUGUAUUUCAUGAAUAGGAUAUUUUUGAGUGCGCCUCUAUUAACAGUAGGGCCAGCAUCUUGCAAAAAAAAAGUGAGGCCUCUGAAUUUCUUGAACUUUCACGGUCCAUGGGGAUAAGAAUGAACUAUGAUCAUGACGUUUAAUUUCUUCCCCUCUUAAUAGUUACAGUAGCAAUACGGCUGAAGCUAGAGCAAUUUGGGCUAAAAUGUUGUAUAGAUAAUGAUCCCGACAACGUCAUCAUUGAAAUUGAUUUUCCACCAUGGCAUUUGAGGGAGAUUAUUUGUAGAUUCAAGACCUAUAUGACUAACUGUACAUUACAAUGUUGUUAUAGAGAAGCUAAUCAAGUAGCGGACGCUUUGCCCAGUGGAGUAUUGACAACUCGAGUCUUAUUCUCCAUUCCAACGAUGAUCUGCCUCAAAGGGCUAGGGGCUUAUAUACACUUGAUUUAUUUCAGAUGACCUUUUUCCAACAUAAGCACAAGAAUUAUAGUUUUUUGUGAGCUUUUUCCUUCUGUGUAAUCUUUCUCUAUUGUAAGUAUAAGCAAGCAUAAUCUUUGUAUUUUCGCCAACUUUAGGUAGGCUUAAGUUCUUUUCUUUAGCAGUCGUAUAUCCACUUCUGUUGAUGUAUCCUUCUCAAUGUUGAAUGAAACCCAAACGCUAUGGGAACAAUUGAUUUAAAAAAAUUCUCUGAGUUGUAAUAUAUAUAUAU
Molecule: long non-coding RNA, 859 nt
Organism: Lycium ferocissimum
Lineage: Eukaryota; Viridiplantae; Streptophyta; Magnoliopsida; Solanales; Solanaceae
Exons: 2
Source: RefSeq, a predicted model, not a curated record